ACAGUUUAAAUUCUUGCGCUUAGAGGAAGGUGUCAGAACAAAAAAGAAAGGCAAGAGGUGUGAGGGGAGGUAUAGUAACUAGGCUUCUGUGAAAAGGAAAAAAAGGAUAAGAUGGUUGAAGGCAGUUGUGAAAAGAAUGACGCUGAAAGAAAUGAAGCUUUGCUAUGAUGGAGGUCGUAUAUGUGCUUCCUUUUCAACUGGUGGAAUUACUGGCUGUGGCAGUAAAAGCUGUUGUGUGAUAUCUAAGGGAGUAUAUUAAGAAGACCUUACUUCCAACCGCAGGACAGUGGAAACAAUAUUGGAGGGACAAGCUCAGAGUGUUGCGGUCCCCUGUUACUUUUGGAGGAGUGAAAAACUGUGUGAGGAUGUUGCAUACCUAGACACAAUAGCUACUACAGAAACAACCAUGGUCUAAGAUUACAUGAAAGACCACUGCAGGCAUUAAGCCAUGUGGCAUCGGACAAGCAUCAUUCAGGAAGCCUGCUCCAAGGCCGUUCUUGAGAAACAAAGUAGUAGGAAAACUGCAGCAUCAGAUUCAUCCCUCCAUGCACCUCUUGUGUGCUGGCGAUGUUGAAUGGUACAGAAAGAAGUCUGCAGCUGAUGAUGU
Long non-coding RNA from Lagopus muta (rock ptarmigan), 607 nucleotides. RefSeq lists it as uncharacterized. The transcript is spliced from 3 exons. Lineage: Eukaryota; Metazoa; Chordata; Aves; Galliformes; Phasianidae. The record is from RefSeq and is a predicted model, not a curated record.